UGACCAAACCUCAGCACCUGCUGACCAACUGCAUUAAACAGCCUCCAGCCUACAAUCACCAUCGUCACCUGGCGCCGAGCGAACGUUCAGGCACGCUGCCAUUAGGGAUUCCCCCAGUCCGAAUGGCCACUACGGUGUAACACUCCCUUCACCCUUCGACUCGACUGUUCCAAAUUUUUCAGCAAGCUGAACAUUAACACAAAACAAUGAACAGCCCUUGUUCUUUACUCAGCUCUGCAACUUCCUCCAGCCCCAGAGAGUGAACAACUCAACAAACACUACAGAAAAUUCUCCUUAUACAUAUAUUUUUGUGAAGUAUUAUUGGUAUUGGUAUUUUUAUCAGGUUUAUUUUUAUUUGUAUAUAUUCUAAAUAAAAUGUCUAUAUAUAUAAAUUA
Tachysurus vachellii is the source of this 395-nucleotide long non-coding RNA. RefSeq lists it as uncharacterized. NCBI's taxonomy places the organism in Eukaryota, Metazoa, Chordata, Actinopteri, Siluriformes, Bagridae. The record is from RefSeq and is a predicted model, not a curated record. The transcript is spliced from 2 exons.